Gadus morhua (Atlantic cod) is the source of this 3214-nucleotide long non-coding RNA. Lineage: Eukaryota; Metazoa; Chordata; Actinopteri; Gadiformes; Gadidae. The record is from Ensembl.
CUCCAUUUACCAUACCGAAACAUGCCGACUUUAUAACAAAUAAAGUGAGUUAAAGUAAAGCAACCCGGGAUUGGACAACUUUCUUCGAGAAUAUGCAACAAUUUGGUGACCCGCGACGUUUGGAAGAAAGUCCCGAGAAUCCCGGCGGGCACGACGCUAAAACAACUUCAACAGGCCACACACGUCUGAGGUAAGUAUAACUCAUUGUUUUAAAGAGCCCAUGCCAUUAAAAUCACAUUUUUCCUAUUGUUUGUUAAAUAACAUAGGUCUGAAUAAGUUUGUGAGCUGUGGUAAGUUUGAAAUCUAUGCAGUUUGUCUGCUGAAUGCAAUAGGCAAUGAAAGGAAAAAGGCAGAAGAAAUGAGCCGAUCUGGAUAAGGUGACACUGUGACGUAGCGUUGUCAAAUUAUUAUUCAUGGCCCUGCCCUCUUGGUUGGUUCGUAACCACCCACAAGAAUUCUGAAGGAGUCGUGAUUGAGCUAGUGCUAAAUGCUAAUACGUGUAGUUGCUUAGUUCGUAGUAACAGGCUAGUUACAGAAUUUUGAAUGCAAUGGCAGAACGACAUCGAACUACAUGAACUGCGACAUGCUGCCUGCCGCCGGUUGCCGCGAGGCAGCGCACGGUUCUGUCUACUACAGAUUGAUGUGGAAGUGGAAGAACCAGAGACGUCGGAGAACCCGACGAAGUCCUUUGUGAUUCAUUAUAUCUUCUGGACGUGCACACAGCUUUUGGCCGUGAUAAUAUGUAUUAUUUGAUAUAGAUAUCUAUGUAUUAUAUGAUAUUAUUUAGAUAUAGAGCAGAGCUCCAGGACUGUAACGCAAGUGUUGUACACUUCCUUGUUAUUUGGAUAACCGUUCUGCUGUUGGUGUGAUGGCGUAUAACACGUCGGACUCUCGUCUAUGGUAUUUCUACAACUAGACCCGUAGUGGGGGUUAUCUCAGCCAUGGUUGAGAAUGAAUUGGGGGAAAGGAACUUUGGCUUUGACUCCCUGAAGUCAUGAACCACGACAUGGAGGAGAAAGGGAUUGUUGACCGCGGUCGUCUCCCGGCGGAGCCUCGCUGCCGAUGGACCACCGCCUCGUCUUCAGGAUGCGGUGAUUAGCGCUGACCGCUGCCGAGGCGGCGGGAAGCAGGGCUCAAGCGGGAUACAUUCGCGGCCAACAAUCCCUUUCUCCUCCAUGUCGUGGUUCAUGUAGCCUACUUCAGGGAGUCAAAGCCAAAGUUCCUUUCCCCCAAUUCAUUCUCAACCAUGGCUGAGAUAACCCCCACUACGAGUCUCGUUUUAGAAACACCAGAGACGAGAGUCCGACGUGUUAUGCGCCAUCACACCAACAGCAGAACGGUUAUCCAAAUAACAAGGAAGUGUACAACACUUGCGUUACAGUCCUGGAGCUCUGCUCUAUAUCUAAAUAAUAUCAUAUAAUACAUAGAUAUCUAUAUCAAAUAAUACAUAUUAUCACGGCCAAAAGCUGUGUGCGCGUCCAGACGAUAUAAUGAAUCACAAAGGACUUCGUCGGGUUCUCUGACGUCUCUGGUUCUUCCACUUCCACAUCAAUCUGAAGUAGACGCGGUCGUUUGAGAUUCAUAAUAACCUAUCGUCUGGAGGCUCACACAGCCUUUGGCCGUGAUAAUAUAUAUUAUAUAUUAUAUGAUAUAGAUAUCUAUGUAUAAUAUGGGUUUCUAAGAGCCAUUGCGAUACAUCCACCGUAAACAGAGCGCAUGGUACCGUGGCUACAAGCUGCUCAGGGCCAGGUGAUAAUAUAUAUUAUAUAUUAUAUGAUAUAGAUAUCUAUGUAUAAUAUGGGUUUCUACGAGCCAUUGCGAUGCAUCCACCGUAAACAGAGCGCAUGGUACUGUCAGUGGCUACAAGCUGCUCAGGGCCACACCCCCACCCCCCUCCUUGACCUGCCUUGACACGCCCACCGUAUACAGAGCGCAUGGUAGUGGCUACAAGCUGCUCAGGGCCACACCCCCACCCCCCUCCUUGACCUGCCUUGACACGCCCACCGAAACAGUGCGUUUGGGGGAAGCUCAAUGUGCGACUGUUUCGGAGUGACUGUAACACUGCACCACGGCUGAAUUUCGGGGACGUCUUUGAAUACUGUGUUUGUGGCCCACUAAUACCUAUAUUAAAGCAUCAUAAAAUAGAAUGGCAUGGGAUCUUUAAAGAUUAAGGGCCCUAUCUUGCAUCCGGCGCAAGUGACUUAGUCACUGGCGCAUGUGUCGUUGCUAGUUUACAACUGGCGCAGAGUGCUCUUUUGCCACCUGCGCCACUCGCCGGUAAAUUAGGGAAUGAUCUUGCGCCCCAAGGGGCGGUUCGGCGGAAGGAGGAGGCGUGUUCUGGCGCAAACGGUAUUUUGCCGUCUCUGAAUACCAUUGCGCUACUGACCAGGAAAUACCUGGUUUAAAGUCAGUGGCGCGUUGUACAGAUGCUAUUUUAAGGGCGCAAGCAUACAUGCGCAUGCGAUGCAUACGGAUUGCUUGUGCACCUCGCGCAUACACUUUGCUUCUCUCAUCUACCUAGCCGCACAUUCUUGGUAAAUUAUUUGGGAAAGAACAGCUGAUGCAGCGGUAAUAAGUUGUAGGCUACUUUUUAAUCAAUGCAUCUGCAAACACCGUAUAGCAAACGCAUAUUUUCUUGACACAGACAUCGUGUAGGCCUACAUGCCCAUAACUUUUAGGAUUGAUGAGUAGGCCUAUUUGAUCGUGAAAAACAUUGUUUUACCGCGAGUGAGUGUUAAAAAGAAUUAAUGAAUGCGGGCGCGCGUGUGUGCUCUAUUUAAACACACGCAAACUAAACACUCUCAUCAUCAUCUCAUCUUCGUCCGCUUAUCGGGGGUCGGGUCGCGGGGGGAGCAGCUCAAGCAGGGGGCCCCAGACUUCCCUUUCCCGGGCCACAUUGACCAGCUCUGACGGGGGGAUCCCGAGGCGUUCCCAAGCCAGUGUUGAGAUAUAAUCUCUCCACCUAGUCCUGGGUCUUCCCCGAGGUCUCCUCCCCACUGGACGUGCCUGAAACACCUCCCAAGGAAGGCGCCCAGUGGGCAUCGUUACCAGAUGCCGGAACCACCUCAGCUGACUCCAUUCUAAGUAAAGAAGCAGCGGCUCUAAUCCGAGUUCCUCACGGAUGGCUGAGCUUCUCACCCUAUCCCUAAGGGAGACGCCAGCCACCCUUCUGAGAAAACUCAUCUCGGCCGCUUGUACCCGCGAUCUCGUCCUU